This 400-nucleotide ribosomal RNA is filed under the name uncultured bacterium. Its description in RNAcentral is "bacterial SSU rRNA". It matches the Rfam family "Bacterial small subunit ribosomal RNA", at positions 355 to 753 of the family's 1533-position model. The record is from RNAcentral.
UGAGGAAUAUUGGUCAAUGGACGAGAGUCUGAACCAGCCAAGUCGCGUGAGGGAAGACUGCCCUAUGGGUUGUAAACCUCUUUUAUAAGGGAAGAAUAAGUUCUACGUGUAGAAUGAUGCCUGUACCUUAUGAAUAAGCAUCGGCUAACUCCGUGCCAGCAGCCGCGGUAAUACGGAGGAUGCGAGCGUUAUCCGGAUUUAUUGGGUUUAAAGGGUGCGUAGGCGGUUUAUUAAGUUAGUGGUUAAAUAUUUGAGCUAAACUCAAUAGUGCCAUUAAUACUGGUAAACUGGAGUACAGACGAGGUAGGCGGAAUAAGUUAAGUAGCGGUGAAAUGCAUAGAUAUAACUUAGAACUCCGAUAGCGAAGGCAGCUUACCAGACUGUAACUGACGCUGAUGCA